GCGAACCUUGUCCUCCGGUCCUCGCAUCAGAGCACUUAGCAUUUUGCUUCCCUAGGGCAGCUGGCCUGUCGCUCCGUCCUUCAAACAUUUGUAUUAAAUCCAACCUUAAGAGUGACUCACAUCUCUGGCUGGAUUGCCAGGGGACCUUGGGCAGAUUUCUUAGCCUUUCUGAGCAUUCAGUUAUAAGGGCAAAUAUUUUUGGAGGCACAGUGUGGACGCGUAGUAUGAACUGAAUGAAAGAAAUCGGUUUCGUCAAAAAUAAACAGAGUUGAAUUAGUUGUAUUUGGUAUUUCUCUUUCUUGUCUGUGGAUCCAGUCAGCAAAAGUUAAAUUCAGGCAGCAAUAAUGUUUUACAUUUAUGUAUUACUAUAUAUUUUCAGCUCCUUUUCAUAUGUAUUAUAGAAUUUGUGUCCAGAAUUGGGACAGUAACCAUAC
RNAcentral lists this long non-coding RNA (434 nucleotides) under Homo sapiens (human). RNAcentral's name for it is "non-protein coding lnc-SUMF2-17:1". The record is from RNAcentral. Lineage: Eukaryota; Metazoa; Chordata; Mammalia; Primates; Hominidae.